Arachis ipaensis is the source of this 1000-nucleotide non-coding RNA. The record is from RefSeq and is a predicted model, not a curated record. Lineage: Eukaryota; Viridiplantae; Streptophyta; Magnoliopsida; Fabales; Fabaceae.
CUUCACUAUGUGCCAGAGUCUCUUCAUCGCGCCUCCAACCCUAACCCAAGAGUUUCAUCGCCUUUCUAACCCCUCCUUCAACGCUUCCUCCGUCGCUGCUCCCUCCUCAGCUCUCCUUCCUUCUCAAGUAGCAGACAAAAAAAUACUCCUCGCUCCGCCGUUGAAGUUGCAAGUAUCUUACAACGAAGCUAUCUCUAGUGGUUCGAGCUUCAAGGAGGUGCAGUGGGUCAAUGAGCAGAUCAAUGAAGAGGACGAGGAGGAGCUUGAGGUGGUGGCUUGUCAAGCUAGCUCUGACAACAACGACAAAGUCGGAAAUGAUAAUCCGCACGAUGACGACAAAGAUCCUUCCGCAACCAAAGAUGUUGAUGAGGAUGAGCAGGGUGAAGAUGUUAUUGAUUCUGGCAAGCGUGAGAAAGCUAGAUUGAAAAAAAUGUAGAAAAUGAAGAAGCAGAAGAUUCAGGAGAUAUUGGAUGCACAAAAUGUAGCCAUAGAUGCCAACAUGAACAAUAGAGAAAAAGGAAGACUGAAGUAUUUCUUAUAGCAGACUGAGCUAUUUGCACAUUUUACAAAAGGUGAUCAAUCUUCAUCUCAUAAGGCAAGAGGGAGGGCCGCCAUGCAUCAAAAGUGACAGAAGAGGAGGAAGAUGAAGAAUACCUAAAAGAAGGGGAAGAUGGUUUAUCAAACACUCAUCUCGUGACACAACCAUCAUGUAAAUUUCUUGUGUAUAUGUGUUGAUUAGAUAUUUUUCAAGGCUAUAUUUUUAGUGUCUCACAUUCAUAGAUAUACCAUUUUACCUUGCCAUUUCUUUUUACACAUGGAGAACAUUCUAUAUUGAUUUUGAAGUUUGCCAUUUUGCUUCAUGGUUUGUCCUUUGGGGUUUCACAUGUGCUAGAGUUAUACAUCAUUGAACUUUUCUCUACACACUUUUCUCUCUAGUUGUUUUAUUGUAAUGUAUGUCAUCAAAGCUAGUCAUCAGAAGUCUACCGAUUUGAUCUUCAAU